RNAcentral lists this ribosomal RNA (1339 nucleotides) under Phytophthora sp. P10090. Its description in RNAcentral is "eukaryotic LSU rRNA". It matches the Rfam family "Eukaryotic large subunit ribosomal RNA", at positions 25 to 1155 of the family's 3401-position model. The record is from RNAcentral. Lineage: Eukaryota; Oomycota; Peronosporomycetes; Peronosporales; Peronosporaceae.
CCGCUGAACUUAAGCAUAUCAAUAAGCGGAGGAAAAGAAACUAACAAGGAUUCCCCUAGUAACGGCGAGUGAAGCGGGAAGAGCUCAAGCUUAAAAUCUCCGUGCAAGUUUUGCGCGGCGAAUUGUAGUCUAUAGAGGCGUGGUCAGCGUGGGCGCUUGGGGCAAGUUCCUUGGAAGAGGACAGCAUGGAGGGUGAUACUCCCGUUCAUCCCUGAGUUGCUCGUGCGUACGACCCGUUUUCUUUGAGUCGCGUUGUUUGGGAAUGCAGCGCAAAGUAGGUGGUAAAUUCCAUCUAAAGCUAAAUAUUGGUGCGAGACCGAUAGCGAACAAGUACCGUGAGGGAAAGAUGAAAAGAACUUUGAAAAGAGAGUUAAAGAGUACCUGAAACUGCUGAAAGGGAACCGAAUCGUUUCCAGUGUCUAUAAUCCGUGGCAUAUUUCAUUGGCGAGCGUGUGCGUGCGUGUACUGUGGCAGUGGCUUUUUUGGCUGCGCUCGGUGUGUGUGCUGUGUGUGCUUGCUGGUGCCCUGUGCUGCGGUGGGACGUCAAGGUCAGUUCGUAUGCUGCGGGAAAUGGCUGCCGAGGAGGUAGGGCUUACGCUUGCGUUUGUCUGUUAUAUCUUGGUGGACGAGUAGUCGCGGUUGGGACUGAGGUGCCUACAACGUGCUUUUGAGUGUGUCUGUGUCUCCGUGUGCGCCGUGUGCGGAUAGCUUGCUAUGCGUGUGUGGUUGUGUGUGGAUUGAUGCGGGCUUUAACUUGUUGCCGUUCGGGACGUUGACGAAAUGGAGCGAUCCGACCCGUCUUGAAACACGGACCAAGGAGUCUAACAUGUGUGCAAGUGUUAGGGUGUGGAAACCCCAGCGCGAAAUGAAAGUGAAGGGCAGCGCAAGUUGUCUGAGGUAGGAAACGUUGUGGGCUUCGGUCUGCGGCGUGGCACUAUCGACCGAUCAUGAACCUUCGUGGUGAAAGAUUUGAGUUUGAGCACAUAUGUUGGUACCCGAAAGAUGGUGAACUAUGCCUGAGUAGGGUGAAGCCAGGGGAAACUCUGGUGGAAGCUCGUAGCGAUUCUGACGUGCAAAUCGAUCGUCAAACUUGGGUAUAGGGGCGAAAGACUAAUCGAACCAUCUAGUAGCUGGUUCCCUCCGAAAUUUCCCUCAGGAUAGCAGCAACUUAUUUACGAUAGUUUUAUGAGGUAAAGCGAAUGAUUAGAGGAUUCGGGGAAGAAACUUCCUCGACCUAUUCUCAAACUUUAAAUCUGUAAGACCUGCAGGUUUCUUAAUUGAACUUGUGGAUGUGAAUAUCAAGUUGCUAGUGGGCCAUACGGGGUAAGCUCGUCUGGCG